This 227-nucleotide long non-coding RNA is filed under the name Trifolium pratense (red clover). Its description in RNAcentral is "long non-coding RNA (TPRA_LNC006341)". The record is from RNAcentral. Lineage: Eukaryota; Viridiplantae; Streptophyta; Magnoliopsida; Fabales; Fabaceae.
CGGUCUUGAAGAGGAAGUGACUCGGUGGAAGCGUUAAGUUGUUGUGGUGUUGUAGCCAUUCAGUUACAGUUACGGUUACAGAUUUUUGCCUUGCUUGUUGAACAGCGAAGACACUGAAUUUUUUUUUAAGCUUCAACUUGAAUUUGAAAGAACAAAAACUAAAUCGUUUAUCAUAUCAAAAUUUAAAAAAUAAAAUUGAAUACAAAAUUAAAAAAUUAUUAUGCAUG